AUCAAACCCUCCUCAGUAGUAUCACACGAGUCAGUGAGACGUGCUCUCAAAUCGGCAGAGUGACUGUCACGGCGUUUCAUGCAGGCUGGCGUUAUCUGACACCUGUGGUGUUUAGCUGUUGCAUCCCUCCACAUUUGGAAAUUAAUUUUUGUUUUUUCUUCAUUUACUUCUUAUCCAAUCCUAAUUUCUCAAUGUAUGUGCAUGUCGUACUGAAUGAUGGACAACGGAAAGAGAUUGAUCGCUGUUAAAAGGGCCUUUUGAAAGGCUCUUUAGGGCACAGAUUAAAGUCCAGCAUGAUUUGCAACAUUUCUGGAUACUAAACGAAGAAGAGAAACUUAAGAAUUUUGGGUAUUCAUGACUAGAAGCAAGAAGUUCCAACAUGGGAUGCGGCACAUCCAUUGCCGUUGAGAACCAAACACGACCCUCGGAAACUGAUGGCUCCAUCAAGCAGCCCAGCCCAGCUCUGACCAUGAAAGCUGCCAUACUGAUCCAGCGUUGGUACAGACGCUAUGUUGCUCGCUUGGAGGUGAGAAGACGCUAUACGUGGAACAUCUUUCAGUCCAUUGAGUAUGCAGGGGAACAGGACCAGCUCCAGCUCUCCAGUUUCUUCAGUUUCAUGUUGGACAACUUCACCCAGAUGAAUGGGAAUGGACCAGACUUGAUCUCUCACCUCCUGGACUCUGUGGUUGACCCGUUAACUGAGGAGGUCAGGCAGUUGAAGUACGAGCAGAUUGUCGUGCCGGAAUCGUACAGCGGUCCUCGUCUCUCCUUCCCGCUCAGCGUGACUGAUACCAAUGCCCUACUCAGCGCCUUUAAAGAGGAGCAGACUCUUCACGGCAAAUAUGUGCUGCUGCUACUAUAUGAAACCAAGAAGUUCUUGAAACAGAUGCCAAACGUCAUAUACCUGUCGACGUCCUAUGCCAAAGAGAUAACUAUAUGUGGCGAUCUGCAUGGUAGACUGGAUGACUUACUGCUUAUAUUUUACAAGAACGGUCUGCCCUCUGCGGAGAACCCCUACAUAUUCAAUGGAGACUUUGUGGAUCGAGGAAAGAAAUCUACAGAGAUUAUCAUCAUUCUGUUUGCCUUCCUACUUCUGUACCCCGACCACAUGCAUCUGAACAGAGGCAACCAUGAGGACCACAUCAUGAACCUCAGAUACGGAUUCACAAAAGAAGUCAUGCAGAAGUAUAAGACUCAUGGCAGGGAAAUCCUGCAGCUUCUUCAGGAUGUGUUCAGCCUGCUUCCUCUUGCAACUGUCAUCGAUAACAAAGUGCUUAUUGUUCACGGUGGCAUAUCGGACAAAACUGAUCUGGACUUUCUGAGCACUGUUGAAAGGCAUAAAGUGAAGUCUGCUCUCAGGUUGCCCAAACGCAGCAUUGAUCAUCUCAACGUCCACGCCUGCAGUCGCAGCAGCAGCAGACACAGCAGAAGAUCCAGACUGGACAGCCCUUGCUCCUCAGGCCGCACCAGUCGUGCUUCCCGCAGGCGGAAGAAGCACUUCACUAAGCAGGGGAGCUGCUCCUCAUCUUCAUCAUCUUCAUCCUCCUCAUCGUCCGUGUGCUCCCCCCGGGUCUCGUCACGGAACACUCCACGUCGACCUCCGCCUUCCCCUAGUCUGCUGAGCCCCACCGAUGUGCUCCAAGUUCCCUUCCUGGACUCCUUUGUCUCCCUAGAGCCCCCCGAGCCACCCAGAGAAGAACUGGAAUGGCAGCAAGUUGUUGAUAUCCUGUGGAGUGACCCUAAAAAUCAAAACGGCUGCAGUCCGAACUCUUUUCGCGGUGGAGGCUGUUACUUUGGGCCAGACGUGACGCAGGCGCUGCUGCAGAAACACGGCCUCUGUCUGCUCAUCAGAUCACAUGAAUGUAAACAGGAGGGCUAUGAGCUCUGCCAAAACGGACAGGUUAUCACUAUUUUCUCUGCAUCUAACUACUACGAAGAGGGCAGUAACCGCGGGGCGUACAUCAAACUGGGGCCUGAAUUGGUCCCACGCUUCUUCCAGUAUCAAGUUAGUCGAAGCACCAGAAAACUCACACUCCAUCAAAGGGUUCGUGUAGCAGAAGGUUCAGCACUCAGGGCUCUGAAAGAGAAGCUGUAUGCUCACCGCUCUGAGCUAAUGGCUGCCUUUCAACAGUAUGACAUAGACAACACAGGUCGCAUCUCCACUAGCGAGUGGACACAGGUGGUGGAGUCUGUGCUGCGAUUGGAUCUGCCAUGGAGAACCCUGCGCCCACGCCUGGCCCGUCUUAGUGCAGAUGGCAAUGUAGAGUAUGAAUCCUGCUUUGAAGACAUCAGCCCUGGAGAGCCCAUCCCUCCGGUAACACCAAACUUGGCUGAAACUCUUUAUAGAUAUAGAACUGACCUAGAGAUAAUAUUUAACAUCAUCGAUAAGGAUCACUCAGGUCAGAUCUCCAUUGAGGAGUUUCGACAGACUUGGAAGCUCUUCAGUUCCCAUUUGGGGGUGGCUGUGAAUGACCAGACGAUAGACGACAUGGCUCGAAGCAUAGACUUUAACAAAGACGGCAGCAUUGAUUUUAAUGAGUUCCUGGAGGCUUUCAGGGUGGUGCAUAAACUAGAUGUCAAAGAGCAGCAGCAGGGUUAAUUCUGGAUGAGCAGAUUACAGACAAGGCAGAUUUACAAAUCAUUUUUGGCAUCUUUAUUUUUCAUUUUAUGGAAGUUAUUCAUUUUCAUUUUCCAGGAUUUCCAUUUUUCAUAAAGACUCCUCUCUAGUGUUCAGUUUGUCUGAGUGAUCUUCAUCUACAGUUUGACACUCUUAGGUUUUCGUCAGCCUCUUUUUAUUUUUUAUUUUUUUGGGGUGGAAUUUGCUCAAUCAUGCUAGGUUGGAGAGGUGCACUUCUGUGUGUAUUUUUGAAUCAACUCUGGACGCAAACACCAGGUACUGCUGAUAAAGGCUGCAGUGGCUUUGGACACUUAGAAAAUGGGCGUAUGUUUUUCCGUUAUGGAGGAUUGUAUGUUACCUUCACUUGUAAUCCAGGAUUCCGGAUCCACGGUUACCGUACUAGCAGCUGUGUAUCUGGACAGUGGGCUAGAGACCCACCACUGUGUGUGGCAUCAGGAUGCCCCAGCCCUGGUGAUCUCCUGCAUGGCAGUACUGUGGUUUCUAAAGACAGAUCUCUGGCCACCUUCAGCUGUGACACUGGAUUCAGUUUGUUUGGAUCUGCGCUUCUCUUCUGCAAGGGGAAAAUCUGGAACGCACUAAGCCUGUAU
This is an RNA transcript of Onychostoma macrolepis, 3225 nucleotides long. It is a transcript of the gene named protein phosphatase, EF-hand calcium binding domain 1, with no coding region annotated. Lineage: Eukaryota; Metazoa; Chordata; Actinopteri; Cypriniformes; Cyprinidae. The transcript is spliced from 22 exons. The record is from RefSeq and is a predicted model, not a curated record.